GCGAGACCUUCCCAAGGGUUCCCCCGCGGGCGGGUCCCCAGGCAGGGAAGGGGGUUCCCUGUGCUGGUCGCUGGAGUGAGCGGAGGAGCGGUCAGUGUAGGCACAGGGCGGUGAACCCCAGAGUGGAGCAAAAUCAGCAACUGGCACUUGGCUUUUCCGUUUCUAAAUGUAUUUUAUGCGAUGAGCAGGUACUCUAAUAAGCCAUAUAUUUAGCUCUUUUUUUUCCUUCAUAAAAAUGUAUUCAUACUUGGAUAUAAGUAUAGGUAAGUACUGAUAAAUGCAAAUUUGAGGAUGGUGAAUGCCCGUGUCACUGUGUUAGAGUGCCAGCACUGACCCACACAGAGGGGAAUGUAUGAUGGACCUAUCAGUGUUCUUUGGUUCCUCAAAAUGCAUCCUUGGCCUUCAGAUUUAAAUCACAGAAAAUACUUCAAAAUCCAAUUUUAAAAUGAGGUACUUUUUAAAGUGGAGCAAAUGUGGUGCAGAUGUCAGCAGCUGCAAAGUCCAGUCUGUAAAGCAGUACAGCGUGGCUGCUGCUUAUCACCGAGUUCUCUGCUGAUGCAGCUCACACCUGCUUUGCUCCAGACCUCCCAUCCUGGGUCAGAGUAUCUAUGGACUGUUCACAGUGACAUAUUUUGCUCCACAACCUUUGCUGGUGGACCUCAGUCUGGGAUCAGACUUUUUGCUGAUUAUCCUUAGGAGUUCAUUCUUGGAGAUUUCAUUUUAUUGCUGUUCAGGGUGGUUUGUUUUGCUGCUUAUCGAUGGGUAAGUUAAACAACCCUGGUGUAAAGUCUGUGAUUGCUGGUGUGAUUGCUGCCAUUUAUGGUGUUCUGACACAGUUUCAGGCUUUUCAAGGAAACUGAAAAUGGGGCAGGAUUCUGAGUGUUUUUCAAGAUAGGCUUUGCAAUGGUGCAUUGUAAAUAAUGACUGUUGUACAUGGCUUGCUUAUUUGGGUGUUUAUCCUAUGAGUCUGUUGGCUUGGUUUAAUAGAAUUAGGCAAGCAAUUGUUGGAGGGGAUCCAGUGAACCACUGCCUCACCCAGUCACGAUUUCAAGGUUAAGGCAAUGUCAGAGCUGUGAGAACCUGGUGAUGGAACUCCAGCAUUGUCACUGGUAUUUCCAGUUGUGCAGUGGCACCAUUGGGAAUGAGAUUACAGGCAACUAGAAAGCCUUAUUUAUUCAGCUGUUAUCUCGUGUUUUGUUUUCUCUCUGAGGCUCAGGCCUGUGACAUUGAUGUAGUUCAGUGAAAACCACAGGUCACACUGUGCCUUGGUGUGAGGCUGUGAUCACAGUUGUGAUCCUGUACAGUCAGGAGGUCCUAUGGAAACCUGGGGUGCCUCCCUGCUGGCUGACAUGCCAAAAUAGCCUUUCUUGGGAAAUCAGAGUGCAUACUGGUCUUAUCCUGGUAUGCAGUCAGGACAUAGGUGGGAUUUCCUGUAUCUCAUAGUAUAGGUGCAUUUAUUUACCUUGAGGCAGAUCUCCAGAAGGAAUGGCUGCUAAGCCCAGUUAAAACUUUCCCCUUAGUAGGUAUAGGAUGCUCUAAAUCUGGGCAUGUUUUAAAAAAUGCAGAUUUGUCAAGUGCCAGAAGAGAACUGCUUUUCAUGGUGGACUCACAGACACCAAAGAGGAAGGAGAGGUUCAUGUUUGGCCUUGCAACAAGACAGAUUGCACCUGUGAGAGCUCUGAAAGGGGAAGAGCUCUUCCAGUUAUGCCUGGAUUCUUUGAAGUAGGGGGUGGUUGAAGGCACUGCUUUUCCCAGCCACUCACUCCUGUUAUGUCAGAUAGGUCAUUAGUAAUGGUUUUGCACCACCAGCUCAAAAGUUGUACAAAGGUCCAGGAGAUGGAAAAUUGAAAAAUUAUUGUGUUCACAAAUGCCUUUAAUAUCCCUGUGUAUGCUGAGGUGUAGCUGUGAACCUACUCCUUUUGCUACCACAAUUUUUGCAGGUUGGGGACAAGGAAGCAGAGGGAUGGGUCCUCUGAGGGUGUGAUUUAUGAGUAUGGUUUCUUUGUUUUAGCAGAACCACAGGGCAGUUUAACCGAUUGGUUCAGUUCUGUCUGGUUUAUACUUCCUCUACCUAGUUUGGGGAACAAGUAAUAGUCAGAAUGGAUUUUCUAGUGCCUUAAAAUGCUCCUAUAGAGGAAGAAAGAUUCAUGUAGGGGUUUAGGGCUGCACAGAUACUACAGAUGGAAAAGAUAAAGCAAAUACAGAAAUUGGUGUCAGGCUAGUAUCAGUACAGAAGUGGCAACAUAAGUCAAUGAAACUUUUUCUCACCUGUGGACAUUUAAAGAGUUGGCUUUAAUCUGUUGUCAGAAUGGAAAUCAGGAUGUUCUGAAGUUUGCCAGUGUACAGAAUUCAUGUUCUGGUACACUUCAAUACAACGUCAUACACAGGUCUGCCCUCACCACCUUCUGUCAGCUAGCAUCUUCUGAGUGAAAUCUCUUUCGAAACAGAAUGAAUAUUUUUUUUUAAAAAAAAAGUUUUAAACUGUGCAGACCAAGUUUAUUUUACAGGCAGUUUUAUUUUACAGGCAUUUGAUAUGAGAGGAGGCAAGUGACAUAUUGAUGUAUUCUUAAGGCUCAUAUGAGGUAGCCAGAGAUGAUGAACUAUUUAUCUGAAAAAUCUGUUUCCUUUGGUGCUGAAAAUCUAAAAUCCACUGAGGACAUAAGAAGUCCUUCUUGUUAAGAGAUCCUCUGCAAAAUUUAUGUCAUAAAUUGCCUAAAUUUAGAUGAAAGACCCUUUGAUAACACCAUUUUACGUGAUCCAUGCUCAUGUUAUUGUUGGACAACAUUUUGGAUAUGUUUAAUAUGUCAUGCUUAACAAAGGUUUUUGAAAGACCUUUUCUGUCCUCAGCAUGGAAAAGUUUUUUCACUUCCUUUUCUUCCAUCAAGCUUAUUUUCCCAGCACUUAUCAUCUCUCAUUAUGUCUUAUCUUUCUUCUGGAUAUGAUUGUUUUCCCAGUUCAUACACAGAAGCCCAGUUGACUUCUGAGUGCAAUCUUUCCAUGCCAUGGUACCCAGAGGUUCAGAGAUAAAACUCUGUUUGCUUGGGUAAUGUUGGCGAAUAGAACACAAUACAAUUUUAAAACCUUUUUCUGGAAGAAAAAAAAAAAAAAAGGCUUUGUAUACCUCUGGAGAAUGGAAGUAAAUUACAUUCUUCUAUUAUGUAUGUGAAUCUGAUUAUGGGAACGGUGGAAUUAAUUUAUCUGGUUAUAAAGAACAUGGCAUCUUCUAAAAUGCACAUGAUUAUUUUUAGUUUUGUUGAUUUUAGCUGAACCAUAGACGUUUCUCAGUGUAUAUUACAACUGCAUAUUGCUUUCUGGGACAGAGUGAAUGCAGCACUAGAAAGCAAUUAUGGAACUAAUAUAUUUCCCUGAAAUGUACUUUGUGAUGCAGGAUUUUACUCAUGUUUCUAAAAAUUACUUAAACUUCUGCCUAAAUUAUGCUGGUAUCACAAAUAUGCCACUUAUAUCAAUUUAUCCCAAAGAUACCAUCUUGGUAAGGAGAAGUAUUCCAUUCCAUAACAUUCCAUUGUUACUUCCAUAACAAUGGUUUUCCCCAGGUCCAAAAUGUUUUUUCAGCAAGGAGUGUAAUGCCUGCCUAUUCUGUGCACUGGGGCACCUGCACUGUGAGCCACUAAGAACAGAAAGAACGUGUAUUUUGGCACUAAAACAUGCAAGCAACAAAGCAGGUAGUCAUCAUACAGAAGUAACCCCUUCAAACAAACCCUCUGUCAUCCAGUUUCUGGGUGAAUUCUGUGUAGGAAUCAAUUUUCCUUUUUCUCCUUGUACCACAUGUUGCCACAGUCUCAACUUCAAGAAUGAUCAGAGACCUAUAAAACAUGAUCUAAGGGGAAAGAUUGAAAGAAUUGGGGUUGUUUAGUCUGAAGGAAGGGAAGGUGUUGGGAAAAACUGUAAUUAUCUUUCAAAAUGUAAAAUGUUUCUCUGCAGAGAGAAGGAAUAAGUUUUUCUUUAUGUUCAGUGGGUCUAGAGCAAGAGGUGAUGGACUUGGAGAUUUAAAAUAGACAUUAGGAAAUUAUUUCAAACUGGAAAUGUACUUUGGCACUGAAAAUGAUUAUCUGGGAAUCUCAUUUGCUGAAGGCUUUGAAAGGCAGAUUAGGUCACGUGUCUCAGGAAUGGUUUUAGUUGCAGUAGAUUAUAUGGAGAUAACCCCAAAAAGUUCCUGGCUGGUUUGUUUCUCUCAGGUGAUUUACAGCAGAUGCUUUACUGCUGUGUUGUUUUGAUUCUCACUCUUCCUUAUAUCCUCAGAAAAUACCAGUAAGAAAAGAUGUCAGUAGGUAAAAAAUUGGGUGAGUAGAGUGGGUGGGGACAUUCCCAAUAGCAGAAUACUAAGAAAUGACAGUUCCUGCAGGAAAGCUGGUGUGUUUGAGCAGAGUGUGACAUGCUGACAUGUUCUCCUGACAGGCUUUGGGACACAAGUAUUGGGCUGGCUUUCAACAAGUGGUGCUUAGUCAAUACACAGAAAUCUGUGUUUUAAAUUUUAAUUUUAAAUUUUAAUUGAAGCUUCACUUUUUGCCAUGUUCAAAUAUUUCCUGAAUUUGCUAGGAGUGAACUCUAUCCACAGUUCACCACUAGCCAGUUACACUUUUACUUCCUCCAGCUCUCUGCAACAGUAAGGUAUCCAAAACCAGUAAAGUAUCCAAAAUGCUUGUAAUGCUUUGAAGCAGAGUUGAGGAAUUAAUUGGUUUUUUUGCUGCAAAAUUUUAAACACCCCUUGUUCACCUUCUCCAUAGUCUUCCUGGUUUCCUGAUUUUCACCAUUCUUCCUGUAGCCUAAAAUUUCUCUUUUCUUUCUGUAGGUUACUGUGGGUUAUCUGCAAUAACAAAGUGAUGAAAUGACACUUGAAUACAUUCAUGAAAACCUAGGGAGUGUGACCUGCCAGACAACUCUGCCCAAAUCCAAGAUCACCUAGGUCUUUGUCAUUGCUUGACAGAAAACUGUUGAAACUCUUCCUGGAUACUGAAUGAUGGCUGCAGCCCAGUCCCUUUGUCCGGAGCUGUGGUGGUGCCACAUUGCUGUGACCCCAUUGCACCAGUCAGCACUGCAGGAUCCACUUCCCCAGGGCUGGAUCCUGAUCCCUCUGCCAUAUCAGCCAGGUGAGGAGAAGGACAGACCCCUGCCACCAUCAGGGACAGCCCAAAUCUCUCCUGAGCCUCAUCCAAAAAGGUUCAGUAAUUUACAGUUCCUUAUGGCAAGACACUUCUUCUGGAAUUGUCGUGAACAUUUUAAAAUGUUAUCAGACAAUAAUUGCUAUCACAACUUUUAAUUCUGUGUUUCUGUUUCAAAUUUUCCUCAGUUCAAUCAGAACCAAAAGUUAAUGCCCGUUGGCUAAUUUCCAGUGCAUGCCUCCACAGAACAACUGCUGCCUUUAACUGGUGGGGAGAUCAAGGCUUGAACUGACAAAAGACAUCUGUAUUUUGGAAAACAAAUUAAUGUUUAUGUUUUAAUUUAUAAGUUCCUGGCUCUUUUAUGGUUCCUGUUUUUCAAGUAAUGUCUCUUUGGAUCCCUAGCUGAUGGAGAGUCAAAAUGGAAAAGGCCCAUGAGAGAAUUAUCACAAUAGAACAUCUGGUCUGCAUUGGAAAAAGCUGAGAAAGAUAUUCAACAUCUCUGAGACUGAGGCAGCCAUGAGGCAAUUUGAAAGUCAGUCCAUGAAAAAUUGUGCAGGUUGUGGCCACCUGGGCCAAUCUAGUGUUGUUUUGGGAAGAGCUACUCUGCUCAUGAACAUCUGAAUUUUAAUUUCCCUUUAGCAUGGAUAUGUGAGAGCUGGGAGUGGUAUGAAAGGUGUUUGCUUUCCAUAAUGUUAAUCUGAGUCCCAGCAUUGUCCUAAUUAUGUUGUGGGUUUUUGCCAGUCUCCCAGAUUUCUUUUUAGCAUGUAGGCUGGAGUCAAAAGGAUUUCCCAGGGCUUUUGGCAUAGCUUGACAGAAAAGUGGAUGGAAAGGACUUUGUAUAUUUUUGGAAGAAUAUUUUGCAUCCUGCUUUAAACUAUUCCAGAAGGUAAAAGGACAUUAGCUAGACUGUGUUGGCUCAUGCACUGGUAUGUCACUAGUGGCAAGGAGUUUUAUUCCUGUUUUCUGCAGUCACAGACUGUAAAAAAUGCAAAGAAAUCAUGGACCAGCAAGGGCAGUAAAGGUACCCCUGGAUUCAGAGGGAACAAACUCCUUCCACCACAUGGAACUUUGGUCCUUUAAGUCAUCAUAGCUCAUGCAGAACAGAAACAAUUUGACAUGUAUAACAAGAAACAUUGCAAAUUGUUUGCCAAACAAAGACUUAUACUGCAGAUGGAAGAACUGAUGAAAAUUGUUUAUAGAUGGGGAACUAAAUGUAGAUAUUUUGAGAACAAGGUUGCUGUCUUCCUUGCCAAGACAAACAAAUCUGAUAGACCAUCUCAUUGCUUUAGGCUGCCUGAGGACCCACUGGAAAGUCUAUGGACCUUUUUCCACAGAAAAUUUGUGUAUUGUCAAUACAUAAGUGUAUUGUCCACAGUUACACCAUGGCAGCUGCAGAGGAAAUGGAAGGUUCUCAGGAAUACAUUAGGGAGAGCUGGAUUUUUGGCUUCUGAAAGAGUGUGGAGAGUUUUUGGAAACUGUGGAAGUUUUUAAGCUGGAUGUUACUGCUACAAAAGGUUAUCUGUGAGUUAAACGUAAUAGUAAUUAAUCUGCUGUCUUUAGAUCUUAACACUAACAACACAAUUAAAUUGAGAAUUCCUAUCUUCUACAAUUGCAAUUUCCAAGAUGCCUUCACUCCUGUGAACAUACCCUGGUCCGAAUUUAGAGAUUUUCAGGGUUACCUUUAGAAAUCUGUGCACAGAUGUUUUUCCAAAGCACUGUGUAAUCAUCCCAAACAACUGGUUUUAAUGGGCCAGUUAUUUUGGAAAUCACGUAAUGAGAACAUAAAUACAAUCCCUGAUACUGACAUAAAACAUGUAUUAGCAAAAUAAUAUAGUUUGUAUUUCCCUGAUACAGAGCAGACCCUGGAAAUACAUAACUCAUCAUGUCCUUAAACUUCUGUUAUGUCUGUAAACAUCGAUAUUGGCAGAGAGGCCCAGCAGCAUCCUGGGCUGCAUUAGGAAGAGCAUUGCUAGGAAAUCAAAGGAGGUGAUCAUUCCCCUUUGCCCAGCACUGGGGAGACUUCAGUGGGAAUGCUGUGCCCAGUUCUGGGCUCCCUGCAGCAGGGAGGACAUGGACAUGCUGGAGUGAGGGCAGGAAAGGCUGUGAGGAUGGAUAAGAGGAGCAUCUGUCCUGUGGCUGCCCAGGGAGGUUUUGAAGUUGACGUCGUUGAAGGAACUCCAAACUCAACAGAGCAAGGUCCCGAGCACCCUGCCCUGGGUGAUCCAGCUUCGAGCUGGGCUUGGGCUGAGUGAUUCUCCAGACUGGAAAUGUUUGAGGCAGUUUGCUUGUGUCUUGUCAGUGUUUUAGCUGCAACUCGACUGUGGAGGAAUCCUAAGGAGAGCAAAGGCUGUGACCCUAGAAAUUCAUCCAGAUGGCUGAGGCCCAGAAAAGGCAUAAUGGGAGCUGCUAAGUAUUCUAAAUGUCUCAUCAGAGUGAUAUUUCACUUGAAAAUACAAAAUAGAAAUUAUUUGGGUCUCAAUGACACUGAAUACCCAUAAUGUUCUCUCACUUCAGCUGGACUGCAGAUGGUAACAACCUCUCUCUAUCUAAACACGCUUGUUUUAGUUUAAUCUUGCUCUGUAAAAUUUUAACAUAUAUUUUUCUCUAGAAAUUAAUACUUGGUGCUUUAUGGUGCAGAAUUUAUUUGCUGGUUUGUUCCACAUUUUCUUUCCUUACUAGUACUGAUAUUAACAAAUUGCAAUUUAUUUUGGCAUAUUACUUCAGUAAUAAGCACAUACUAUGUCUCAGGGAGUUGAGAAUAUCAUAAUUUGAGCAAGGUAAAAUCAAAAUAUAUAAUUACAUUGCAUAUUCUAUGGCACUAAGUUUGUAACUAUUCUUACAGUACCUUCAGAAUAAGAAGGAGGAUGAAAUUCAAAAAGGGCUUUCAUAGUUUAAAAAGAUUUCUGUUGAAAGCUUUAUGUUGAAACAAGAUUUAUGUUGAAAGGCAAAGAAUUUUUAUUUUUUUAAAAUCAGCUGAAUAGUGGUUGGAAGAUUCACGUGUGGUUUUUCUUUAUGAAAAUGCCAAGGAGCUAACUUGCAAUAUUGAGAAUUCUCAGAUCCUCCUUUUGAAAAUUCUUUGUCUUUUAUAUUGCCUCCAAGGAAAAAGGAAAGCACACUGGAAAACAAGAAAUUGAGCAACAUUGCACAAGCAAUUAGGAAAUAAAUAGAUUAUAAAGCACUUUAUUUUAUUUUGAUUUUGCACUUCAGCAAGCGAAACAAUAAGUAAAUAACCUGUUUCUUUAUUAUCAAUAUAUGGAGUCACAUAUAGUAGUGACAGACCAAGGCAUAAAUGUAUAAAUAAUAAUAAAUAUAAUAAUAACAAUAAAAAUAGAAAUUAUAAUAAUAAAUAUAAAUAAUAUAAAUGUAUAAGUAACACCUGUGCUAAUUAUUAGAGGACAUCAAAUUUUGCUAGGGAUUAGCCCAUUGUGGAACCAUGAAAUUGAGACUUCAGACAAAAAUAACACAUGAAGGUCAAAUGUACUUAGUCAUUGGUUGCUGUCUCUGCACCACUUUCCCCUGAAUUAAUGCUUUUACAGCACACCUCUGAUUCAGUCUCCCCUGUCCUGUGUGGGAUGGGGUUUUUGGUGGGGAGAGUAUUACUAAAAAUUGACACCUCUAGCAGCAAUUCCUACUUGUACUGAUUUCCUUUUAUAAAUGUGUAACCUAUUAUAUCUAUCCAAGCCUGGCUAAGCUCCAAGUCACCCAUUUCUCAGUAAUACAGGAAAUUAAAUCUAAUGUCUAAUAAGCAUAGAGGCUUAUGCAACCUUCAUUCCCAGUAAAAAUAUAAUAAUAUUACCUUGUCUUUUGAUAGCUAGAGAGUUGGGCACUUAGUUUUUAUGUAGACCAAAGUGGCUCUGCAUUUGGGCUUGAGGAGUCUGGGUUUAUCCAUCCUUUUUUGCAGACUUACUGAAUUUCACCUCAAAAAUUCUCCACUUAUUAAAGGCCCCCCUGAAUUGUUCAUGUGUAGGGUUUGGUCCCUUUCACCACUUCUCGCUGUGGUAGGAACCCCCUUUGUUCCCACAGAGGGCUCUGUCCCCUGUGAUCUCAUCCUGGGAGUGCUGCUGCUUGCUUGUUCAUUCUCUCUCUCCCAGGAUUUUGCAGCCUGAACAGAUUUCUGCCUGUUCCAUCUCAUUUUCUGAUAAUACCACCACAGCUCUGUGUCAGUUGGUGCAGCCUUUAAAAAUGCAGAAAUCUGAUUUUAGGCCAUACAGGUUAACAUAAUUUCAAGGCUUUGUCUCCUGCAUGUACUGGUUCAAUAAGUGGAUUUAUACUGGAUAAUUUUAAACUGUUACAGCCCUCUGAUAGCAUUUCUCUCUUGCUGCUGUAAUACAUAAAGUGACAUAAGGUCACUGAUGCUGUGGAAAUUGGUUUUGGAGUUGAUAUGCUAAUUCAGCAAGAAAUCAGUUCUAGCAGAAUUGCAAAGAAAAUUAUUUUAAUCUAGCAUCAUGCUACUUUGUUGGCUUUUAGGAAAGAGAUAAUUAAAAUAUUCAAGGGAGUUCCAAGUCUGUGGAAAAAAUACCAUUUUGGAGAUUUAAAGUUAUUUUUGCCUCACAGUUUAUUAGCAUCUUUUCUGAAAGCAAGCUGAAUGUGAUGGGCACAAAUAUGACAUUUUCACAUGCUGAAAAAAAUAAGAAAUGAGAUAUUUUUUAAAGCUGAGUUCUGUAUAAGAAUAAACUUGGUUCAGUCUUUUCCGUGUCACUCACCCCAUGUUUACAGUAACUGCUCCUGCAAUUUUGUGGAUGAAAACUUCCAUCAGAUAUGUUCAGGGCCAUUAAUGAGGCUGCAUUAUGCAACUAAUUGCAACAGAGAACAAAAUUACAUUAAUGGUGCCUGAGGAGAAAGAGAAUCUCUGCACUCAGUGUGAGUAAGGGGUAGCCAAUGCCUUACUUUUUCCAAAACAAAUAUUUAAGUUAAAUUGAGAACAAUAGUUGAUAUCUGAGAAUGAUCACUAGGAGUUUGAAAGCCCUAUAUUUUUUCAAAACACUGUCUUAUGUCUUAAGGAAUUUCCAAGCACAAAAAAUAAAAUAACUGUAGUGUUCACUGUAUGAGUAUGCCAAAGGAAAAAAAAUUGGCUCUUUGAUAAACUCUUUCAUCUUUUUGAGAUGAAGAACAGAGAAAAUGCAUUUCUAAGAAAUAUUUUUUUCUAUUGUCUGAAUUGUAAAAGUAGUGCUGUCAUUGUCAUAUUUUAAAAGAAAUUUUAAUUCUAUAAUAAAGAAAAAAAGUUGUCAUUUUACUCUCUGUUCUUUCAUAAAGCAGGUACAAUGCUGCUGUUUGCAGAGGAAGGACACCAACUGCAACAAGAGUAGUGUCUGUUCUAGAGUGAGGGAUGAGCUCCACUGGAGAUGAGUUGGCUUCCCUGGCUGCAGUGCUCAGGAUUUCAUUUUAGCAGCUCUGAGAUUGAUCCAAGUCUUUGUCUCCUCCUGCACUUUAUGCUAAUGCAAGUACCAGCUUGUGUGUUAUUGAAGAGAGAGAAAUAGAAAAUGCAAUUCAAUGUUUUAUUUCAUGCUCCCCAAGUUUAUUCAGACAGACACACCCAGAGUGAAUGUGUGCUGCACUCAAUUUGGAGAUCUUGUGUUAUAAAUUCUGGCUCCCCUGUGCUUUCCUGCUUUGCCCAUAGAGCAGAUAAGGGAGUUCAUAACAGGAACACCCUGUUACCUCAGCUGCAAAGGGUUCUGAGAAUUUAAUGGCCAAGAGAGUGGAAUUUAAAUUUAUUUUUGUUCAGCUUGUGUCAGCAAGCAUUUAAAAGAUCCACCAAUUUAUCUUUGUCAGAGAUUGUUUUUCUUUUGGCUUAGCUUGGACACAAAUCUCACUGUUGGGCUUACGUUUAUGGAGCAGGACCCAAGGUUUCUCCAUGUGUUCAGUAUUAGGAUUUCGACUUUGCAAGUCUUGUUGCUUGAGAUAGGUGUAAAAGUCAUGUCUGCAUGUACAGCAGGAACAGAACUGGGGUUUGGAUGCUGCUACUUAGUCAAUUGAGAAGGAACAAAAGUAGUUUUGAAGGCUGCCUCUCCUCUUGGCUGGCAGGAAGAAGAGUUGGUAAAAGCUGCAAAGACAACUGAGCACCCUGAUGAUGGUAUGUAUUAUGCAUUUUAUUUUGUAGGUGGAUUUUGAGGAAUAGUUUUUAAAAUGUAGUGAUUUUACUGUCAUUUGGCAAACCAUGUGUGACCAUAGCUGUUUUUCCAAAAUGCCUGGUUCACUUGCUUUUGUUGCCGCCAGUCGAGUUCUCACUCCACGUAGUAAUGUCCACAAGGUGGUGCCACAGCUAAGAAGUUUGCAACAAAUAAGGCAAAAGUAAUUUGAUAAUUCUAUCUGCUUUUUGUGACUUGACUAAAGAUACUAAAGUAUCUGCAUCAUUAAAGAGUUAAUGAUUAUUUCAUAAGCCUGAUAUCACAGGUUUGCAAGCUCUUUUUUUAAACCGCCUGUGUGAGCAGAGAUGGGUUGGUCUGUCUGCUGAGCGAGAGCCACAUCCACACACGCCUGUGACUGUCCCAAAUCUUGUACAAAAAUGAAGAGGCAGCUCAGGGUUUAGCAGACAGGCUGAUGCAGAGCUGUGCAUUUCCUAGCAGGGUUACCUGUGCCAGCACUGGCAUCUGUCUUAUGUUUUUGUCUGGGUCACUUCAGCAGGAAUCUGCUUGAAUCCUGACAAGCAGAAUAGUUCAUCCACAAUUUCAGCCAAGACAGUUUCCACUUACCCUAAAGUGGCUGUGGCACAUCAGACCCUAAUAUCCUGAGUUUUUUCUAGAGCCAGGGAUAGCCAGGCUCCCUGUCCUAUGCUAAUCUACAUCUGCCUGUUAAUUCCACAGGGGUAUGAGGUGCUUACAGAGGGACUGCACAGAUGCUCAAGUUUACGAGCAUCUUUCUAGAAGAGAUCAGACUAGGGAAAGCAUGAGGCAGUAACAGGGAAUGUAAGAUGUCAAAUGUACUGUCCUGUGUAGAAAAGAGAAUAAAACUUCCAGGAAAAGGUUGUUUGUAUGGAUCUAGAUGUCUGCACUGACUUGUGUGUCCCAGAAGAGCUGAAGUGCAGCAGGAGUUGGCCGUUCCCCUCAGGUAUGUGUCAGUUCUUCAGCUACCCUUGGCCACAUGGUGCUUCUUGCACCCUUGCCCUGCUCCCCUCAGUGGCCUCUGCAAUCCAGGCAUGCAUGCUAGCACAAGAAAUACUCCCUCUCAGCUUCUGCAGUGGACAAAUUAAAUUUGAAUCAUUUAUUCAUCACAUAAUUUUGUACCAAAAGCAGCAAGAAAAAGGUAUACUUUAAAAUACCAUUCAGACAAGCGCUGCAUUGACUUGCCUCCAGCUAGAAUCUCUCUUUGGUAGGCCUGUAUCAGAAAGAGAAAAAUAACAGGGUUUGCAUAAUAUGUUCCCUCUAAGUUGGUACAUUAUUUUUUUAAAACAUACUAAAAUUCUUCUGGCUUGUAAGAGACACAGUGGAAAUUAGGUAUACCCAGGAAAGAUAGUUUGUCCCCAAGUUAUAAAGCAGAAUUAGAGUUAGAAGCUUAUUGAGUCCAAUUCUGAAAUUUGUCAAGUAACACAAUGGCCACCUAUUUUUUUAAAGGAUCAUAUCUAUAAAUUAUAUUUUAAAGUAGUUUACAGUAUUUUGAAACUUUAUAUUGAUUUCAUCAUCUGUUUGGAAAAGUCAUUAUCUAAUCUGAGAACUAACUAAAAAUAUAAAGCCAUGAACAAGUCAAGUAGAUUUUAUUUCUGAGUCAGUCUGUUGAGUUAGUUUGAAAUAACUGAAACAUGACAGUGACAUUGUCAGAGUAUUCCUGUAAGAUUGUUCUGAGUGUAUGGCUGCAAUAUGUCUCAAAAUUAAAUUGACAUAUUUCUGGUUUAGUUUGGAUUUUGCAUUUUCUUUGACUUCGCAAAAUUGCUUUCAAAAAUAUUUAUUUUUCAGGUAUUUUGCACAGAAAAAAACUAUGCUCUCUUCUAAAGGGAGAGAAUGAGUAUCUAAGAUCAUACAUCUAAGUCUCCAUGGUGUGAAAACCCCAGGCAAUCAUGAACAAAACUGCUUCAGCUCUAUGCCAGAGUCUUCCUGGGAGGAGGUGACUUGCAGAGUUGUGAGUUAGGAGUCAGUGUGAGCAGAAAUCCUCGUGCAGAUGCAGGGCGCUCACCGGAAACAAUUGAGAAUGGCAGUGGUAUCCUGCAGGAUGUGUGCGACGUGCUCAGCUGGGGCUUGAUUUACACAGGGCCACAUUAUAGAUUAUACAUUCUGGUAAUUGUGGUAUUGUUAUUGCUGGGCUGGAUCUAAGCACAGGAAGUACAUAUAAGCACAUUUGAAGUGAUAAUAUCCACUCUUGUUUGAAAAGCAAUAUUUUAUUCUCGUCCAUAAUACAGUGUCUGUGAGGGAAAAUAGAUAAUUUAUUAACUGGUACUAGAAAUACUAGAAAAAAAAUACUAGAAAAUAGGUAAUUUACUAAUUAGUACUAGAAAUUCUAGAAAAAACAUAAUACUAGAAAAUAGAUAAUUUACUACCUAGCAUGACUUCUAGGGAAAAAAGCUGAUUCAUUAUGGGAAGCCACAAUCAGGAUUUACAAAUAAAUCCACUUUAAUUUUUACUUUUAAUCACUUUAAUUUAUUUUUUUUUCAGACUGUAAUCCAAGAUCAGGAAGGAGACAAUGCAUUGCCAUCUGAAACACAAGAAAGAUCAAAAUAAGUUUUCAAUGUGCCACCAAAACCACAGUGCUAGGUUUCUGUUGAGGUGAAUGAGUAAUACCAUUCUAGCUGUGAAGGUUGCUGUGAGUGGGUAAUAAUUCCAUCUAACUGAUAGGGCAGAUUAUGCAUUCUGCAAGAAAAUAAAUAUUCCCAGGUAAAAUCUUGCCCAAUUUCUUUAGGUCAAUAAGAGAACCCACCUACUUUACCCACUUAGCUGAAGUUGCUCUAUGCAUACUUGUCUAACUUUAGGAUUCAGGGACAGGUCUGUUCUCCAUCCUUACAUCCCCAAACCAGCCUUGCUCAGGAACACAUUGCCUCCAACCUUGGUGUGGAGCAGGAAUCUGUUCCUGCUGCUGCUCCCAGAAUGUGGGAUGACCCCCAGCUCUGCAGCUGCAGACAAAAUGUGUCAAGGCCCCUCUCAGAGCCUCUCUGCCCAUUUCUCUUUAACACAAUGUAGGCUUCAGACCUUUCUGUGUACCCAGGGAAUUUACUGGUCAAGCCAGGGCUCCCUGCUGGAGGGGGAUAUGUGUCUAUUCAGAACAGGGAUGCAAUAACCAUUCAAAUUUUGUGUGCCAACCUGUUCUCCACAGACAACACAAACUGACAGAACACAGGUAACAUAUUGUGAAUGCUGUGCCUAUUUCUUACUUUGUUUUGCCAGUGAAAAUAGAUUAAAAUUGAUAUUAAGUUUCCUUCUUGUUCCUCCAAUAAUAGAAAAUUACCAGGGAAGAGAAAAUAAGAUGGAUUUUGUUCUCUAGAAAGGCCUUCAGCUAAAUGUUUUUUUUUUCUUUUAAUAUUAUGAAACAUUCUUGUCUGCCUUAAUAGAUGAGAAAAGUAACAGUAGAACUGUGAAACAAAUUAAUACAUCAGAAAUAUCAAUCCUUGGACCAUAGCUAAAUCUAUAUUCAUAUUUAUAAUAGUACUGCACAUCAAUAAUACAAAGCUAUAGUGAUUCUAUACUGUAUACAUUGAUUUGUUGAAAUGAUAGUUAUAGGUGAAGUUCUAAACAGACACUGCAACAUAUAAUAAAGGACUGACCUACUAACAGAUCUAAUAAUAAAACAGAUCUAAUAAAAACAUCUAGUAAGACAAGCUCAUACAGUCUUAUUACAGUAAGUAAUCCAAAGCCUAAUGAUUUGUUUCACAGGUUCAUGAAAAACUUUUUAUUUGUUCUUUCUGUGUUAUUUAACAUUAAGAAUACGUUUUCCUUUAUAAUUCUAAAUGCUUCUGGUCUGAAUUUUUUUGUGCAGACAGUCAAACUAACAUUGAACAGAAGUAUACUUUUUCCAGAUGUCAUACUUAGAAAAUUUUGAAAUUAAAAUCCUGCUGAUGCCUCCUAAUAUUAAUAUGUCUUUUCAUUGGGGUAGGCUCAUUACAGUCUUCUUUUGGAAGUAUCAUCUGCUUAAGUAAGAUUUGAUUUACAAAGCAAUGCUAAUGUGUUUCAUUUUAAUUAAGAUCUUCACUAUUUUCCUAAAUAGGAAUAUCUGUCCCUAGUUUUAACUUGUAAUAUUCUGUUUAACAAAAGAGCAGCUUCAAUCAUACUGAGAGUACUUAUGCAAGUUUUCACAGUUGAUUGCUGGGAUGAGAGCUGUAAAAACAAGGAUCAGGUGAAGAUCCUUUCUUGGAUAUGAGCCUCUAUUUUUAUUUGUAGUUCAUAAGUCUACUUAUUAAAUAGACAAUAAUGACUAUAAUCAAAUAUAUUUAUAUUUUUGUGUGUCAUUGGAGUCAAACAGCAACCUACAUGGCUGCAGUGUGUGUGAAUGUUCCUGCAGUAAAUUCAGGUUUUGGCUUUCAUUAGGCAGUAAGACAUGUUGCCUGCAAAAAUAUCACACAACUUGAAAAGAAGACUCUAAUUUCAUAUGGGAAAUUAUUUCAUCCCUCUUACAUGAGAUCAAAAUCACUAUGCCUUUAAUCAUUACUAUGGAAAUGAAAAUACCAGGCCACCAGGAUUUGCAAUUAACUUGAGACAUCCAGAGGAAAUUCUGUAAGUUGCUUUAGUCUCUGUAUUUUGUCUUGUCUGAAAUCUGUCUGAUUUUUGUUUGAGUUUAUAAGAGCAAUUGUUAGUGGAAAUGUCUGUGUUUCAAUUGAAGUGUUCUAACAAGUUUUCUGGUCUCACUUGAGCAGAAUAACAACACCCAAAACAACUGAGAUGUCUUUAGGUCUUAGAUAUUUGGUUUAAAUAUUCUAUGAAAUACUUGAAAAGGUAAGAGUUCCUGAAGCAUCAGAAGACAGAGAGUUUAAAGAUCAGACUGAGCCAUGCCUCCUGCAUUUAGUUCUCCAAUAAAUCUGUCAGGACACUGACCAGCUGGGCUGCCAGAUGUCCUCCUCCACAUUUUGGGUAAGUAAUCACUUGGGCCUGGGAUCUGCUGGACUACCUAUGCCUGAACCCAUUUGCAGUUAUUUUAGGUGACAUACUAAAGUGGUCAGCAUGAGCUUAAAAGACUUUAUCCAGCACUUUGACAGCAUGCCAAAAGAAAUUCCUUGGGAUUUACAGUCUAAAAUUUCAUUUCAAUUAAUAGUCAGGAUGCUGAAUAUUAUUUAUUCUACUCUAAAGCUCAUUUUAAUCUAAAAUAUGGUCAGAUAGGGUCAAUGCAGGCAAAAUUAUAUUUCUUCCUACAUAGAAGCCCAUCUAGAUAUAAGCCAGUUUGGUCUCCUGUCCCUAGAUUUGGUCUGCAAGGAUAACAGGAAUGGCGACUGCAGCUGGCCUAGGAUUCCCUUGCACUUGAAGCUCAAAUAAUUAGGCAAGUCUACUUUCCCACCAAAUAAAAUUAUUAUAAACAACAAUAUUAUGAAUUGAAACUUCUCAAAGUUGUUAAAUUCUGUCAGGUUUGGAAGAGGAGCUUUAUCAGGCAGAUCCUCAGCGAGGCAUUGGAGCCCAGUGGGCAGAGUGCUGGACAGGGAUUGAGAAAUCUGAGUUCUCUUCCAGACUCUCCUGACUUUUAAAUGACCUUGAGCUGUCACUCCCUUGUGCUGUGGUUUCACAGUCUGUAUGAGCAGGAUAAUAAUCCUCCACAAAGGUUUGAGAGUUGCUGAAGGGAGGACCUGUAUGAACAUAACAUUUCUUGCCCUAGCCUGAGCUAGGUGCAGCUGUGAUUAGAGGUGGCCAGGAUUUGGUCAAUUCCUCAUCUAUUCCAGAAAAUCUGGGAAAUUUUCAUUGUUAGACUCCUUGCUUUCAGCUGUCUGUCAAAACACAUGUUCAUGCUAAAGGUCUUUCUUAUCUUUCAGACCAUUACAAAAUAUCUCCAGAAAAUUUCACUUGAUUUAGUUAUGCAUUAAUACUCAGUUCAUAUUCCUGUUACUGGGAACUGCAAAGUGCCUCUCAGAAUCAUACAGAUAAUUACUUAACAUGGAAGAUGUAUCUUUGACCUAAAAAAGAAAAUACUUUUGCAAUAUUAUGAUUAAUAUAUGUGGGGAAAAAAAAUCUGUUGGUUUAUGUUGUCAGAUAUCUCAAUUUGACUUUCAGUUUGAAAAAUUCCCCUUGAAAGUACGAAUUUUUUUUUUUUCAAAUUAUAUCUUGAUUUUACACAUUUUGUGUUAAUAGACAACAAGCUCUGUGCACAAAAAAGAACAGUCUACUUUCAAAACUGCUGAAUGGUUUGACCUCAAGGGAAUAUAAACUGUUGACUCAUUGUUUUUACUGCAUAUAAUAUUAGUCCUUUGUCACAUCCAGGGAAUGACAUCAUCUUCCUCAUUGUUAGCAGCAGGUUUGAAUAACAGAAAAAGUGCAGCAUUAGUUGUCUGCUGUGUUUGUUCUUAAUAAAUGAAUGGAUAUCUGGUACCAAGAAUCAGAUUAGGGUUUUUGAGUAACAUUUAGAAGAAGUUUGUGCCCAGACCCUGCAAGAGCUUUGCUCCUGGCCACCAUCUGCAGGGCAGUCGAGCUGGCAGGAGCACGGAGCCUGCAGAAGGAACAUCACUGAUGGUUCUGCCUGCUCCAAAGUGAUAAGAGGAAAGAAGAGACUAAGCACAGAACGAAACAGAACUGUUCUUCAAGGUCAGCUCAGUAGAAGGAAUCCCUGUGCUUCUGUGAAUCAUACUUCUCUGGAAUCUAAAUUUAUGAAAAGUAAUUAUCUGAAAAGAAGUCAUCUCUAGGACACACAAACAAAAAGGGAACUGGUUAUCUUCAAAAUGCACCAUUUGAAGUAUUUCAUCCAUUCCAAAUUUUAUUCAUGUCUAUUAAUUUUCUACUCCCUAUAACUGAAGUAUCUAUGUCCUAGACUCAAAGAGUAAUUCCUUAUCAGAAGCAUUUGGUUAUAUCUGCUUCAUGGAAGAGGGAAACAUCAUUACAGCAAGUGAUCAGCCUGCUGGAAGUCUUCUUUGAGGUGAUAAACCACCUUCUUCUAUGGCAAAGAAAGUUUUAAGUGUUGCUUCCUGAACAAUAAAUAUUUCCAGUGAAAUAGAGUUAACUGAGGGAGAGAUUCCUUGAGAGUCUGACAAAGUGCCAAAUCCUAAUCUGCAUUACCCACUGCCUCUAAGUUUUCCCAGGAAAAUAUGAUUAUUUAACUAUAAAAUUAUACCUUCGUGGUUCCAAAAAUAUUUAUGCUGAAGAUAAGUUCCUGUGUUGAGAGAAUGAAUCAAACUGCACUUUGAAAAGCUGAAAUCCAUACAGCUGUGAGAGGAGCACCCAGGCAGGAGGCUGGGAAAACUGGAGCCAAUGGGUUAAGGAAUCCAGGAUGGCUUAAUCACAGAGAUCCACAUGAGUGGACUCAGGCAAGGGCUACACACAUGGAAAUACUUCUGGAAUACUAGAGCUAAAAAUGAAAACACAAGCUAUGCUGUAAGAGAUCAGAUCAGACCUUGUUGGCUUCAAAGCAGAAGAGAUCUCAUGUAUUGACCUCUUCACUCAUGCUGGUAGAGAGACAUGCUUUGCAUGUAAGAGGCUCAGGUUGGAGCAGGUGCAUCUAUCCUAAUUCCUAUCCCAAACUUAGAUCCCAAUUUUCAGACUUACCUGUAACGAGAAGUAAGAAAUGCUACACUGUUUUUCUUUAUGUUUCAUAGAUUUUUGCUAUUUUCUGUUCUGAUCCAGAGUUCAUCUUCAGUCAACAUUUCCAAAAGGUCUCAAGUAGCAUGAAUUUUGGUGAGGCCGAAUCACUUGAUUUUCCCUUACCCUGUUUAGAAGAGGCUUUACAUGGACAAAAGCAAUAAUGCCAGCCAUUUCCCUUCAUCCUUUAAAAUUACUGGCCACCUCUAAAGAACUUGGCCUCUCUUUUGUGUCAGUUUUUGACAACUCAUUUGAGUUAAACAGGUUGCUGAGGCCAAAUUAAAUGCUUGGGAAAUGGACCAUACAAUUAAUUUGCAAUACUAAGUUGUCUCAGCAUCAUUUCUCUUCCUCUCAAGGGGAAUGCUGGCUCAAGCAAAAGAAAAGAUUAACGUAAUAAAAAUAUUCUAAAGACAUCCUGUUAAUUGUCCCAAGCUCAGAUGGUAUUGUCUAUUCUGUUGUGCACAGCCAGCAAACAGUGUAAAAUCCAGAAUUCCUUCCCACCAUGAAAGCAGAGCUUCAGUGCUACAGGAUAAUCCCUGCCUUUCUGGAAAGCAGAUGAAAAUGUGGUGUGGCAGAGCUUUGCUUUGGUUUCAGAGGUGAGCUCAAUUUUGCCCCAUUUAUGAAUAUAAUAAUAGGACUUGUUAAUCUAGACACAUCAGCAAUUUCAGUUGAGAGAAUAAAGGUUUGUGAAAAAAAGAAAAAUUGCAAGCAAAGUAACAAAAACUUGGGGAGGCAAUUUUUUUUUUUUCUCUGAAUGUGCAAAAGAGGCCUCCCAUGUUUAUUUGGGGACAGAAAACACUUGAGGUUUUAAAUUCAGCCAAACCAGAAAUUUUCAUUUAUAAAUACAUUUGUAGUGUUGACCUUGAAUAUCACAUUAAGUGGCAGCAAACCUCAUAGAAAAAUAAGUUAAUGUAUCAAAUAAAACUCAGAAAUAUUCACAAGUUACUGAGCAAAGCUUGCAAAAGAGAUUAAACAAGAGGCUGUAAUUCUCUAUUUGCUCUAAAAUUUCCUUAACAGGGACAAAGUCUGAUUUUUGCUUAUAUGAAAAUAGUCAUAAAAUAUGUAGGAAAACACAGAACGUUGUUUGCUUCAGUUCCUGUAAACUAAUCAGGCUGGAGGAUGAGUCUUCCUGUAAGUGGGAGCACUGCUGAAUACUAUGCAUGAAACCCUGUUCCUCCCCUCAUAAACAGCUCGAGCUUUGCCUGUGUAUCAGUGCAGAAAAAUAAGUAUUGACUUAUUCACAAAUUACUUUUUAGGCAUUGGAUUCCCAGAAAUAUAUUUGUAUAACAGCAUUUAGAAGCAAAUGAGUAUGUUAAUAACCAGGUUUUCUCUCAUUUUAUGGCCUUAAAGACACUUUGAUCUUAUAAAAUCAUGUUUUUCCUCCCAGCUCUGAUGCUCACUUCCUACCUCUUCAUCUAAAAUGAAUUUUUGACAUCAAUUCAAUAUGCCCCUUUUCAUUUUAUUUCAGACUGCCAAUUAAGAUGUUUCUUGAUAUUUUAUCAAACAAACAGGUCCCCUACAAGAUGCUGGCUUGUUCUCAGGUUGUUUUUUUAUGUCUUUCCAAAAUGAGGUAUUUUGGAUGUGGUACAGUUUGUUCACAUGUCAAACAUGGAUAUUUUAAUUCUGUCAUUCCCCAGUACAGCAAUGAAAGAAAAUAAAUCAGAUGUUUUAUCUGAUUGUACUUUGAUCAGGUUUUUCUCUGUUCUCAAAAAGAACAGUGUGGAGCUUCACUUGCUCCACAAAAAGCAUUUUUAGCUCUGAAAGUAUUUUAAAGAUAUCUCAGAAAAGCCAGACCCAACACUUAGAGUUCUACUCAUCUUAAAAAAAGACUCACUGUUUUACCAUGGUCAUAAAUGACCAUUUAGGAUCUCCUGGUAUUUAAUCUCCACUACAUUAACUGGGAAAAACUUAUGAGUAGGAACCAAAAUUGGACAAAAUUUCACUUGCCAUAAUGCUUCCUAUCACUGUCCAUCACUGACAUAAGUGGGUGAUGAAAAAUGUCUGUAGUUGUGCUUCUGGGUACAUCCUGAUACUUGGCAGUCUAGGAAAUACUGACACUGUGUGUGACACAGGUGGGAGAGAUGUGUGAGCUUUCCCAUCAGGGAAUUUUGCUGGGUUUGAAGUAUAAACUGAAACAAAAAAUGUAAGUUCAUGGUGGCCAUGGAAAGCUAGAGAUUGUGAGAGGACUUGUGGUUUUUAGCAGAAAAGGUUGUGAAAGUAAUGCUGCCUUCUUUGUGUGAUACUCUUGGUAUAGGCAGAUGUUGCAGAUUGUUCUGAACAUUGAAGAAUUCCAGAAAAUAAUACAACUGUGAAAACCCAAAAUUUAGAUUUCAACUGUUUUUCAACUCCUUUAUUACCUUCUCAAAUUAUACUGCAAAGUUACAGAGCCUAGACAUGUGGGAAGUCUCCAAGGAAAAAGUCUGAGGAAGGCAUUCUUCAAAACAAUUUGCCAUUUAGUUUCUUCGGCAUGGUAGAAGCUAGAUAGAGCUGUUCUGCCUCCCUUCAGUCUUUCCAUUUAUAGAAAGUACCCAAUAACAUAUAAACCUUUUUGAAAUGUUUGGGAGACUUCUCUGUGCUCCAAGGGAGCUGGUGUUCUCAAUAUUUAUGAUAUGUACCAAAAAUGAUUUCUCUCUUUUAGUGUCUCCAGUGCAAAAUCAUUACAUUGCCAGAAAUAAAUUAAGCCUAACUUGUGGGGGAAAAAUAUUGGAUUUCAUCGUGUGUUUUAUAUUGUACCAUUAUGAAAAUGGUAUAUUAAAUUCAAAUGCUUCAAUUGUACCAUUAGAUGUUGUCAUUAUGUGGCUGGCUAAUUGAUAGGUUAUUCAAAUGAACAUUAUAAUUUUAGACUUCUUAGAAACAUCCAUGUGAAGAAUUUCCAAACUUCAGAGAAGUAAACUGGGUGUUAGAAAGGAAAAAUAUGUACUGAGAAUAUUUCCUAAUGCAUGUCACUGAAAAAUCAUUACAUAACUGCCGUGUGCAUUCCGGGACUUGGUGCAGUCUAUUUUUAAUACCGGUAUGAAAGAACUUCCUGCUACUUUUUCUCUUUGAAAGCUGCUUUGUGGUUCAUUAGAUCACAUUGUCAAGUUUUCUGCUAUCCUUAAACCCCAAUUUUUCCUACUUUUUUUUUUUAAUGGUUUGGUUUUGUUUUGCUUUGGUUUUGUUUUUUGUUUAAAAAAAAAAAAGGAAACUGUAUCAGAAGGAAGAAUGUGCUGAGCAUAAGAUACCUUGGAGAGUAAAGGUACAUUGUGUAAGUGUUGCAGUGGUCCCAGAACCAAACACUGCCAAACCAGGCCUAGUAUUAAACCCAAAAAGAAAUCUAAACAUAAAAAACACAUGCAUAUUUAAGAAAGGCAAAAGAAUUUGUGUGCCAUACAACAGUACCUAGCAAAAAUUUUCAACGUUCUGUUUAUGAAAACAGAUUUUUAUUUUUAUUAGAGUAGUUUUAAUUUCAUACUGAUCUCCAGUGUUAUCACAGGUCACCAUUUUGACCAUAAUUUGGAUAAUCAUGGCCAUUAACAUAAAGCUUUUUGCUUAAAUGCAAUGAAAAAUUUUCAAACACAGGCUAUGCAAGAGAUUUCAGAAUAUUUUAACUGCAGAGAAAGUUCACAACAUUAGUGUAGUUUUGCUGUUAAAAUCCCAGACAAACAGACUGAUAGAGGUGAGAUAGCCACAGGGACCAACAUUUUCACCUCCUCUGACCUCCUGCAAAACAAAGGUCACAGGACUUCCUCAAUUAAUUUCUUUUCAAACAAGAACAUACCUUUUAGGCAAUGGUACAGUCAAGUGACACUAAAAUCAGCUAAAAGUAUUUUAAAGUAUUAAUUUUAUAGACAAGAAAACGUUUGUACUCGCAAAUUAACAGGCAGUUAAUUUGUACAAUAAAAAAGGGCUUCUGUCACUCUUACUUUCAUCCCUAGCAGAGGAAUGGGGUGACAGUUUUUGGUGCCAAGCAGCGCUCGGUGGUAAUUGCUGUAACUCUUGCUGUGAACCUGCUCUGGAAGUCUCUGGCAGGGAGGCAGUGGAACGUGGCAGGACUGGAACAGGUCACACCUCAGCUGUCCUCCCUGCCACCACUCCCACAGCCACCCCUGCUGCCCUGAAACGCAGCUUUCAACAUAGGGAGCAGCUCCUGAGCUGCCUCGGCUUUCAUAGAAGGCAAACAAUCAAACUGUGGGAGAUGUGGAGCUUUUUGGGGACUGCUGGAUGAUGCUUCCCCUGGGGCUUGUGGUGGUAAACUGCAUUGAUGAGGAUAUCUAGGAAACCCAAAGCUAACAAAAUAUUUGGACUUCCCUUUCUGUUGCUUUGACAUUAUUCCACCAGAAGCAAUUCCUUCCCCUGUUCACUCUGCUGUCUCUGUAAAAUUUCAUUUUCACAGAAUACUUUUGGAUCAUUUAUUUUCUGCACUUCUGUAGAUCUUUCAAGUUGGUGUCAUUGCCAAAGAGAAUGGUCCAGUAGUCAGCUAUAGUGUUCCCAGUCUCAAUUGAGCACACUCCCCUCUCCCUCUUCACAUCAAAACACUCUGGAUUCAUUUUCCUUUAUUUUAAUUUUCAUUUUCAGAGGAAAUGUCUUCACCCCAAAAGGUGAAAUCUGACUGAGUUCUGCUUAUUUUAACAAACUUUUUAUUAAGAAAUUCAUUGCAGGUUACCUAGAAUUCUUACACUGCUCUGCUUAACCUUGUCCAGUUCUUCAUAAUAACAUCUUCUUUCCAGUUGCUUGUCACUGGGCUGGUAUUUUCCAAGCCAAGCAUCUGCCUCAGGUUUAUUUUUUGGCAGUUGCCAGCUAAACCACUGUAGUAAUUUUCAAGAACAAGGUUAAAAAAAUAUUUUGUCCAUAUUAAAAAAUAAUAAUCUGGUUGCUUCAUUUAGAAGUGUUGGUAUCCCCAUUACAGAAGGAAUUUGAAAUGGAACACCAUCACUGGCCUGCUUUCAUCCAUGCACCUUUUAAGCAGCAAGUUGGAAUUUGGCAGCAGCGUUGCUGUGGUUUCACAGAUGUGCAUCCAAAUGUAAAAAAAGUUAAAAUACUAAAAAAAUAAAUACAUCUCAGUUUGCAUGUGAUUGGUUAAGAAUCAUUCACUUUUGUCAUUUUGCUGAGUUUUCCAAAGGCCAGCUCGAGCUCAGGGAGCACGCCCCGCGUUCGGGGGCUUUUGCGGAGCGGCCGGGCACAGUCUGUGCCCAAGGGACCACGAGUGCUCCUCCCUUCCUGUGAGAUCUGGGUGCCUCUCCUCUGUGCAUCACCUCUCUUUCUCCUGCUGCUGCUGCUGAGAAAAGGAGGAUGGGUGACAAAGAUGAAAGAGUUUGGGAGGAGGUCUGCAACAGAGCAGAAAAUGAGAGGAAGGAGAAGAUGAAGACAGUAGAGUCCAAGAAGACAACUACUGCUGAGCAGUAAUAAUUCUCCUAGGACAUCAUGGCCAGAAAUCAGUUGUGGAAGCAGUUCUGCAUGACUAGGGAAAAAAAGAUUAUACAUAUUUACAUAAAGAGAUUCUGCUAAGCCAUGGGAAAAGAUAUGAUACAUUGGGUAAGGAAAUCAAUAAGCAUCAUGGAGAUAAAGAUAAGAUGCCAGAGGAAAUAAUUAAGAAAAAAUAAGAGGGUGGAUGUGUUGCUGAAGCAAGAGAAGCUAGGAAAUGGAAACAGAGUGUGAAGUGUGUAAGAAGGCAGGAGCCAGGGAAUGGAGAGAUGGAUAAACAGUGUGGAAGAGCUGGGAGUUACCUUAAAACAGCACAGAGGAGAAAGAGAAGGCAGGAGCCAGGCAGAAGAAAGAGCAUCAAGGGAGAGAAGGGGUGUGAGUACAGACUGAACUCUGAGAAUGGGCUGAUCUUCUGAGUCAGACAUAAAUGCAAAUUGUGAUUUAUCUGUAAUGGUAUAGGAACAGGAAUCAGGUAUGACUAACAUCUAUAGCCACAUUUUCUUUUCCUGUUAGAGAUCUUUAUCGCAUAUUCUGGAUCUCUUGAGCCAGAGCCCUGGAGUUAAGGUGACCGCAUGUCAUUAUCUGUUUAUUUUUCAGGCUUCCUCUCUCUGAUUUUGUUAACAAACAUUCAAAUGCCUAAAGUACAAUAUACGGCUUUCUUUAAUCAGAGUAAAAAGUAUUUCUGCAAAAUACAUUUGAAAGUGCUACAAGUAAUUUUGAAAUGAUAAGUAGGGCUGCCAGCAGUGUCUCUCACUGGCAGAACAAAGCAAGGCCCCGAAUUCAGCUCGAUGGCCUUUCACUGUGGGUGUUUGUCCUCGAAGAGGGCUUGCACCAUCCCCAUUACAUUGUGUGGAAUUCGUCACAGGGGUCAGCAGCACUGCCUUGGCAAUUUUAGCUCCCAGCAGCCAGAAACAUCGCCUGGAGAUACAGGCACAGAGAGUGGGAAAGGGCUGGGUGCUGCCCACGGGCAAAGCAGAGGUGGAGGUCACUGAGCCAGGGAGGGGAGUGGGACAUGUCCUGCCCCGUGGUAUUGCUGCAGCUGCAGAGACACCAGUUCUACUCCUUCAGUGGCAAAACAGGGGGAAACAUUGAAAUUUGCCCCUAACAUGAUGAUUCAGCUUGCAAGCAUUUGCCUUUUUUAUUUAAAAAAUUGGAAUUUCUUUAACAUAAAUGGAAAAUGCUUUCCCACAAAUAGUGUGUUUGGCUGUCACAUUUUCUGCAAGCUGAAGGCAAGCUUUGCAGAGCUGAGCUUUACUUUCCUUUUGAGAAUGAAAGCAGCAGUGCUGUCAGAAGAUUGAGUUGUUGGUGUAUAUCAGGUGAUAGAAAAAAUUAGUCUGCACAUGGUCUGACUUUUUUAUAUACAUAUACUUGGGAUCUGCAAGUGUUGAUUUGCUGUCUGUUUAUCUGUUUGUCAUACUGAUAGCUUAAAUCCACAAACUACACUUCUAAUAACAACUCCUAGGGAUAAGGUUGCUAUUACUGCUCGGUUCCUCCUAAAGAUUAAACAGAGCUAAAAGUUGGUACAUUGACCUAUUGCUUCUUGAGGCAGAUCUCUGUUCAAAUUGUGACCUACGUCCCAGCUAAAAAUGUGUUCAAUCUUUUCUUAAUUUGCAGUAGAUACUUGUGUACAUUACAAAAUCGUCUCACAAUUUGGCAAAUUAAGUUGUCUGUGGUUAGCUCUGGAAUUGCAGAGAUAUUGCAGUGCACUGCAGCAUUGCAUAAUGAGGUUCCCCAGACUUUUCUUACUCGAGUGAGUAACAGCAAUUCUUAUCUCUAGCGAGCAUCAGAUUCGUCCCGUUUUUGAGAAGAGAAUUAGUAUCAAAUAUACGAUGGGCAUGUUAUGCCUUGUGGCUGCAAUGUUGUUUCAAUUAACUUCCCUGAAUAUACCACAAUGAAAAGUGUCAGCUUUUUGCCUCAGAGGCCUAUAAUUAGAUUAAAUGAAUACUGUUAAUUAUCUACUACCUUCUUUACACAAAACAGUAUGUUUCCAUAAAUUAAAAUGCUCGUACAGGAAGGAAAUUGUUGUUCUCUGCAAUACAUCCAUACAGUGCUGGAUUGUGAAUACUGUGACUGUAUCAAAGUGUAGCACAGCUCUUUGUCUGCAGCCCCUAUUUUACAGGAGCUAAAACAAAUUACAUCUGAAAAAUCCACAGACAUUGGACUAUUUUAAAGCAUAUGUGUUGAUGCAAGGAAGUGAUAUUACUAAAUGUUACAGUGCUCAUGAAACAAAUACACUUCUCUCUUAAACAGAUGUUCUCUAUAAAAUUCUCUUAGAGAGAUUAAAUACAGCUUUGUUUGUGUACCUACAGUCACACCCUCAAGGACUAUGUUAUGUACAGAGAAAAAACUGCUUUUUCUAGCAGAGUGUACUUCUCCUUUCAGAAAAUUUUAAAAAGUCCAUUCUGUAGGAAGCAUUUACAGCAGUUAACAGCUUGAUUUCCAGGCCUGUGUAUAUUCCAGCUAGUGUGGACCGAAAAUCUCCUCUGCCUGUUCUCCAGCAUUACUAGAUGCAAGCAAAAGUUCCUGACUGAUCAAUUCAGUCCCAUCCUGGCAUGCCUGAUUUGGAAGUGCAGAUUUUCAAAUGGUGGUACAUCACCUCUGGGGUAACAUAUCUGAAGCAGAAAGUACUCUUUUUGAUUUGACAAAGUGUAUCCCAAUGUCCCUAUUUCCAUCAGAAUAGAUGUUAAUAACUUCAGGCCUGACCAUUCGAUCCUCCCUCACCAGAAAAUUACAAUUAACUUUAGCAGAAGCCCUCAUUCCGGCCUGCAGUAUACUCUGCAUAUAAAUGUGAUCUGUACCCAGGAUUGCUCUUGUGUUUCAUUAAGGUCAAACCCUGAAAAGCUUUUGAAUACUCAGUGUUCCUACAAGGCAUUGCAUUUUGUUGUGGUUUGUGCUGUGUAUCUGUUCCUUUAAAUGUUCAUUACCUCCGUGUAUGAAAGUGUUCAUUAAAAUAUCAUUGUGCUGGUAAUAAUCUUAA
Molecule: long non-coding RNA, 27119 nt
Organism: Parus major (Great Tit)
Lineage: Eukaryota; Metazoa; Chordata; Aves; Passeriformes; Paridae
Exons: 3
Source: RefSeq, a predicted model, not a curated record